GAUGAACGCUGGCGGCGUGCUUAACACAUGCAAGUCGAGCGAGUGAGUUCUUCGGAACGAUCUAGCGGCGGACGGGUGAGUAACACGUGGGCAACCUGCCUCAUAGAGGGGAAUAGCCUCCCGAAAGGGAGAUUAAUACCGCAUAAAAUUAUCGAGUGGCAUCACAUGAUAAUCAAAGGAGUAAUCCGCUAUGAGAUGGGCCCGCGGCGCAUUAGCUAGUUGGGGAGGUAACGGCUCACCAAGGCGACGAUGCGUAGCCGACCUGAGAGGGUGAUCGGCCACAUUGGGAAUGAGACACGGCCCAGACUCCUACGGGAGGCAGCAGUGGGGAAUAUUGCACAAUGGGGGAAACCCUGAUGCAGCAACGCCGCGUGAGUGAUAAAGGUCUUCGGAUUGUAAAGCUCUGUCUUUGGGGACGAUAAUGACGGUACCCAAGGAGGAAGCCACGGCUAACUACGUGCCAGCCGCCGCCGUAA
This 476-nucleotide ribosomal RNA is filed under the name uncultured bacterium. Its description in RNAcentral is "partial 16S ribosomal RNA". It matches the Rfam family "Bacterial small subunit ribosomal RNA", at positions 28 to 523 of the family's 1533-position model. The record is from RNAcentral.